GAUGAAGAACGUAGCGAAAUGCGAUAAGUAAUGUGAAUUGCAGAAUUCAGUGAAUCAUCGAAUCUUUGAACGCACAUUCCGCCCGCCAGUAUUCUGGCGGGCAUGCCUGUCUGAGCGUCAUUUCAACCCUCAUGCCCCUAGGGCGUGGUGUUGGGGAUCGGCCAAAGCCCGCGAGGGACGGCCGGCCCCUAAAUCUAGUGGCGGACCCGUCGUGGCCUCCUCUGCGAAGUAGUGAUAUUCCGCAUCGGAGAGCGACGAGCCCCUGCCGUUAAACCCCCAACUUUCCAAGGUUGACCUCAGAUCAGGUAGGAAUACCCGCUGAACUUAAGCAUAUCAAUAAGCGGAGGA
Molecule: unclassified non-coding RNA, 348 nt
Filed under: soil metagenome
Description: partial contains 5.8S ribosomal RNA, internal transcribed spacer 2, and large subunit ribosomal RNA
Rfam family: 5.8S ribosomal RNA (bases 1-120)
Source: RNAcentral